CGGCGCUCACCACACGGCGGCGGGCCGUUCUCCUCUCGAUGGUCCCGGCACAACAUGGCGGUCGCCGGCCGAGCCGGACCUUGAGCGCUGCGUCCCUCGUUCCGCCCGCGGGGCCGAGGCCGCCGGGGACACAGCUCGGCCCGGCCCUCCAUGCACGGAAGCUGUUGUGAAAGAAACCAACUAUGAAGGGUCCGAGGAGUUCGUGCUGCCUGUUCCCACAAUUACUAACAAGUAAGUGCUAUGUGAUACCACAGGUUGGAGAUAGACUUGGCUUCUAUUAAUGACAGUUGUCACACAGGUGUGAGGAACUCUUUAAUAAUUGCAGACAGAUCUCGGGGAUGAUGGACUGCUGCUCUCUGCUCCUUGGUGCAUCCCUGCUCAACCUUCAGCUUCACAAGAAAUUCUCAAAGAACUGAUGGAGGAAUCCUUAGAAACAAACAACUGGAAGUAUGAUUCAACCGCCCUUGGGGUUUUUGUCCCCUUCAGACCUGAGCUGUGAAUAUGAACCUUUAGAGUGCUGUUACUCUGAAGAACCUCAAGGAGCGAUACCCAUUUUGGAAACAUAUGAGCUUUGUUAAGAAAAUAUACCGAGAUGGCUGACCAGUGUGCCCAAUAAUGCUGAAAGCAGGAGUGAUCUCUGCAAGAUACCUGGUGAUACUGGAGAGUGAUUAUGACAGCAGGGAGCGCAGUGCUGGCCAGUACAGGGGCACCUGUAAAGUGAGCUGAGGAUGAGAUGGAUUUACCACAAAAGACUUGGCGCUCUCGGUACAUACGUCAUCAGUGAGCUGCAGAUAAACUCAGCACACACAUCAGAGGAUGGAUGCGGAGGAGGACUGGGACUCUGAAAAUAGUGACACAGGUGAGGAGCUGUCAAAUGAUUCCAGAAAGAGCACUAAGGAGGUGGGCUACAAGGCUGGCCUCCAGGAGGAGGUGGGCAUGAAUUACUCACAGACACGCAGUCCUUGUCGCAACUCUGCAGGACCAUCAGAUAAACAGGAGCUUCCUACAAAGUCGCAGUGUGAAGACAAAGAAAUCUAUCAGACCUAUUACCAGAAACAAGGUGAGAGUACAGCUGGGAUAUUUGUCCCCUCCAAUACCAACUUGGACCUACAGUGUGAAGAUAAAACCUUACAACGCGGUUCCUCUGAGCACUCCAAGAGAUCACGGAGAAGAGCACGCGGUGAUAAUGAAAAUGCCCUUCUUGAUGGUGUGUUCGAUGCAGAGCCUGCAUCUGGGAAGGCUUUGUCGUGUCGGUGCAAGAAGUGUGGUGCUUCUUUCCAGGGCAUGAGUGAGCUGCAGCAGCAUAAACAGACUCACCUUGUGGAAAGCUCAUACCGCUGUCCUGUCUGUGCCAAAGAGUUCUUCCGUGCAGCAAACUUACGCAUGCACAAGCUCAUUCAUAGCAGUGACAGGCCACACAAGUGUCCAGAGUGUGACAAGGGUUUCAUUCGCACGGCUGAUGUCUGGAGGCACCUCCGCAAUGUGCACAAGAUAGAGCGCUCCAUGGUGAUCUUAGGAAAUGGCAUGGCUAGGAACCCGUGGUCCAUAGUGCACCGUAACCAGCACGCUGUUGAGUACACCGAUCAGCCCUGUGCAGAUAACCACAAGGCUGAGGAAGAAGACUGUAAGCCUUACGCCUGCCCAACGUGUGGCAAAGGUUUCGAUAAGCCUAACCUGCUUUCCAAACACAAGGUGAUCCACCGGCAGGAGAAACCCUAUAAAUGUCAGGAAUGUGGCAUGGCGUUCGUCCAGCUGCUCAGGCUGAAAAGACACCAGCAGACUCACUCUGGGGUGCGUCCCUUCUAUUGUGAGGAGUGUGGAGGGACGUUCACAAGGCUGGCCUCGCUCCAGCGCCAUCAGCGCAUCCACACUGGAGAGAAGCCUUACUCUUGUGAUUACUGUGGGCAUUCCUUCACUGAGUCAGGUACCCUACGGAGGCAUGAGCGCACACACAAGUUGGACAAAUCUUAGCUCUUUGUGAUUGUGGGCUCUCAGGUUCUUACCUGAAGGGGCUUGAGAAAAGCACUCUACUGUAUGCUCUACAGCCAGCGUAGACAUGCAUGCUAGAAGAGUGAAGCACAGGAACUUGUGCUGGUAGAACCUGCACUUUUGCUGGCUUUAAACUGCCUUCUUGUGAAUAACUGACUGAAUUACCACUGAGUAAUGAAAAGUGAGACUCGUGAAGACUGAAAUAGCUCACAUGUGCUAGCACUGUGUCACCACUGUGAAUGGGAGGUGCACCUGCUUGAGCUUUUUGCAAGGAUGCAUGAGCUAUGAGACUUCUCUCUGCAGUGCUGGUUGCUGGACAAAAUGGCUCUGCCCUCUGGAGUGUGAUGGGUAGUUGGCAGUGGCUCUGGAGGUCUGUUUGUUGCAGGUCUUUAAGUCAGAACAGUCCAUAGUCAUCCACGUAUCUGUUCUUGCAUUCUGCUGAGGUUUUUCUUUCCGUUAUGUAUUUUUAUUUGGAAGAAAAGUAUCAUGUUUGUUAUUUAAAAACAAAACAAAAAAACAACCCGCCCACAAAACAAUUCCUUAAUAAACAAGACAGUUGUCAGCUGUAUUUCAUAAAUGUUUCUAUCUAAAGGAGUACCAGUUCCUUACACAUCAUUAUGUUGUUUGUUAAUGGGCUGUUAGUAAGAGCUUUGUUUUUGCUGUGAUGGUGCACAUUCCUGAGGUGAGGGAUUUGAAUACAUUCAUGUUUAUGGAUGGAACCAUGCACUCAGAAUCUGCCCAGCUGAGUGCUGCAGUAGGAAAUGUUGGAGAACACAAAAUGCAGACGGCAGGAAAAAUGCCCAUCUUUAGCCACCUCUUCUGCUUGUUGCAUGGGAGCUGCCUUCAUUUAAAGGCUUUGGGAAUUAAGGAAGCUUCUCCUAACUAAACCAUGUUUUGUGCUGUGUGACAUGGUUGUGCACUGCUCAGAGUGGCUGCUGGACUCUUCACUUUCAUUUAGAUGCAGGUAAUGCGUGAAGAAAACUGUCUGCUGUGACUGCACAUUCAGGCAGAUGUUGUCACAUUCUCCCUGAGUAUUACUUUGGUAGAGGUAUGUAUUGCCAUUGUUACGGCAGUGGGGUUUGUAACUUUGAAACAUAAUCAUGAGGCUUACAAUAGCCUCUUGUUAACCACCAUGUUUGCACUUAAGUGCCAGCCCAGAUUUCCUUUGUGUCAGAAAGCUUUGCUUCCUUUCCCUGCCAGCUGCUGUGAUUUCACUAGUUUCUGCCUAAUGCAUUCUGUCUUUUCAGCAGGAGGCUGUGCAGCAGAGUGAAAGUAAAACUUCAGGGUAAUGUACCUUUACAUUUACUACCAGACUAUUUAAUGUAAAAUAGUGAUUGUGCCAUUUGUCUUGCAUCUUUCACAGGGUAAAAAUGGCUUGUGUUUCUGUGCAGAUGUGAAGUCCCAAGGCUCUGUGUGUAAGAGCUGUGUGCAGUGGUGCUGUUCCUGGGGUGAUGGCUGCUCAGCAGGCGUGCUGUACUCAUGGUUAGUGCAGCGUUUGAUGUGAGGUCCUUAGCUCAGAUCACGCUGUACCACUGUCCUCAGCAGCACUUCAGCUUGACUGCAGAAAGGAGACUAAUUCUCUUAGUCUCACUAGUGGAUUGCUUUGAUUUGAUUCAUCAAAGGAGUUUCCAGAUCAAGGAUCAGAUCUGCAUUCCUGUUCUUAGGAAUGUGUUGUGUUGUCUUUAAAAUGAUGUAACACAGAUACCUGUGCCAGGAUGGAUCAAGGCCCUGCAUACCAUGUGCAUUUAUUAGAGCCCUGAGUGAGACUUCUCCAAGCUAACCCCCCUGAAGGGAGUUCCAGUACUGAAAAGGCUUUUCAGAGACAGUCAGCAAAAGACUUCAUCUGAGGGCUGCCUGGUCUCUGUAAGGAAAGAUCUUCAAUGGAAACAGUUCUGCCUAAAAGUAAUGAUGGGCAAAUGACCUGCUGAGAGAGGCGCUGUUCUGUAGGGACUGUGUUGUAGUCUGAAGUGACCCAGAGAGGACAGCAAGGUGCAAAGCCACCCCAUGAGCCAUCAUACAUUAAGUACACAUCCUCCUCUAAACCCAUUUUGAUUUGUCAGCCACAGUCUCUCCAUUUUCAGCAUCCUGCUUUCCCUUGUUAUGCUGUGCUCUUGCUGUAGGGGGGUUUGAUAUCUCAUUAAGCUGUGCCAGUAUGCACACCUUUAUGCUGUGUGACUGUUCCGCUUAGGCAGUUGUGGUGAUUAGGAACAUCCAGUUAUUCUGCUGGUCGGGGUUAGCAGCCGGUGCAAUUUGUACCUGUAAAAGCAUAAUGGUGAAAGAGUUUUGAACAAAGGCCCGUUUAAUGGCAAAAGUAAAUGGCUGGUGAAAUGGAAACUACUAGGCUUAACUAAAAGCUUAUUAAAAAGAUACUUGCCUGGAAGGUUGACUUGGAUAUCAAGUGCUGGGAUGUGUGAAGGGAGUAAUUAAAGUGUGUGAUGAUUUCUGGGAGAAACCUGUUGAAUCCUCUGCAAAGAAACUUGCCCAAACUCCUGUACAAGCUGCAGGAAAUCCAUUGCAACUUAAUUUAGCCCAGAGAUUGUUCCUAUGCUUUCAAGCUUUAAUACAAGGGUUUGGAAGUCACCUGAGCCUCUCUCAGUGUGAGUUGCAAGCUCUUCUCAUCACCUGAUGGUGUUGGUGAGCAGUGGAAUGUAGAAAUACAGAGGUGGAGCAUGAUAGAAAGGAAAACUGUGUUUCUAUUGUGAUUUUUCCCUAGCAUACCUGCUUCAGUUCAAGCUGCCAGCACAGAUGCAAGACCCCAGGUCCUACUCGCUUCUAGAUACAUUCAGAUGCACACCUGUUGUAUGCUGUGUGUCUGCACAAAUACCUGCUCAGCACCACUGCAGUGCAUGUUGUUCCCUGGGUCCCUCCCAGAAGCACUUGCAUGCAGGAGCUUGGACAGGCUGGAGCAGAGCCAUGCAGACACUGGAGAAGUAUACGCCCCCCUGUGCUUCAUCGUGCUUAUGUGUAGGGCAAGGGGAUGCUUGUUCUAAAACCACAGUGAGCACUUUACUCCCUCCUGGAAGCUACCAGGUACUUGAGAAAAGCCAUUUUCUCCAACCCUCUGCUCCCUGUUCUUGGCCUGAGAGAGCAGCUUAUUGCUGUGAAAACACACAGUGCUUUGGGAAGGGGCUAUCCCAGGAUGGAGAGUGAAGAGUGCAGUUUUGCCAGCAGCUCCACAGGCUCUGCCCUGCACCAUGUGAAGCAGCCUUGGGAGCUCGUGCUGAAGGAGAGCAUCUGCUCCCAUGCUGCUGCAAGGCAGGAGAUGUGGGAGGAGGGCAGGUAUUGCUGGCUGCUAACUAUUUUCUGAAAUGAACACAAAAGGGAUCACAUCCAGAACCAGCACAGCCCUCAGAUGAUUCUUACUGUCCUUCUCCACACCCAUAUUCAUCAAUUCGAGAGGCUGUGAUGCCAAGCAGCAAUUCCCUAUGGUGCCACGAAGAAGAGCUGCUCUGCUAUAAGGCAGGGAAUAGGGCAAGCAGCCAGGACAUGGAGCCCCAGGGAGCUCUGGAGGCCUGUGGGCUGAAGUUCUCAUCCCUACAGCACAUGGAUAAGGCAUUACCAGGAUGGGUAAGAACCCAUUCAGCUCCAUGCAGAAGCCUGUCACCUUGACUUACAGCCCGGCUAUGGGAACAGUCCCUGCCAGCAGGUAAGCAGCUGGGAAUAGGAACCCACAGCUAUCAAUGGGCUGCCUCACUUCUCAUCAGGUGUACAGCCACUUAGAAAAGCACAGCGUAAAAACAUUUAACAAAUAGGGCUGGAAACCCGAUUCCUUCUCUAAAGGUUAAACUUCUGAACUGCAGGUAAUUAUCGCCGUUCUCCUCCCUUUGGUGACAUCUUUUAUCUUAAGCUGUGGAAACAAUAUGUAGGUGCUUGAAAGGUUAAAAUACAUCAAUGUCUCGUGCUGUGGCUCCCAGUUAAAAAAUAGCAUCGUUGUGUUUCCAGAUGAUUAAACCCAGGCCGGGGGGGGGGAGGUGGAGGUGGCUGGUGACACUCGGUGGGUGAAUCACUGGGAUUGCCACGGGCUCGCCCCAAGGCAGUUCAGGGCAUCGAUUUUUAGCUCAAAAUCAGCAUUGGGAGGGAUUGGAUGGGACAGGGGCUGCGUGGCGGGGUGUCCUGGCCUGCAGCGGGCAGCAGGUGGCAUUGUCGCCCAGCGAGUGCUGCUGGCAGCGCUGGGGACAGGGACAAUGUGAGCCCCUCGGCGGGUGGCACAGAGCCUCAGGCUGUGCUGGGUGGCCUGUAGGGAUGCUCCGUGGCUCUGAGCCCUUCGUGCAGGCAGCGGGGUGAGUGUGGGGGUGAGCAGGGGCACCCUGGUUCUGCCAGCAGCCCGCCUGCCGUGCCUCAAAAAUCCAUCCUACCAGGUGGAUUGGGACAGCUGGGGGAAACUGAGGCAGGGAACGUGCCUAGGAAUGGGCACUGUGUCCCCCAGUGGGGCCACCACGAGCUGUCCCCCAGGACUUUGUGCAGCUGUGUGCCAUAUCUGAUGGGACAAGAGCCAAUGCUGGAACAGUUUUUCCUUCUCUCCAAGCUGCUCUGUUUCAUCCUUUAUCAGGCAGGGCUGCUGAGCUCAGGGAAACGGGAGCUGCUUGUGGCUGGGGCAGGAUCCUGACGAGUUCUGCUGACUCCCCCAGGGUAUGUGCCUACACCAUCAGUAGUGUGGGCACCCUGGGUGCAGGUGGGAGCUGCUGGGUGCCGUAUCUCACCACGGGUGUUGUGAUGAAGGCGCCAGGUGGUGUUAGAAAAUGCUUUUUGGGUUGCUGUGCUGCUGGUCUCCUUGGCCUCCCCAUUAUCUGACUGCAGCAUGUUUGGGGUCAAGGUGUUCCUGAGAAGACGGGCGCUGAGCCACAUUUACCUGGGUUGUCCUCUGCUCCCUGAUCAAAGGCUUCAGACUGGCACAAGGCCACACUGCUGCUGAAACCCAAAGGCAUUUCUUCCAGCUGAGCACUCCUGAUUCAGCGUUUCAGCUGCCAGCGCUUUACAGCAGCUGUGAGAUAACUAGAAGACACAGCAGGGCACUCCUCUUGGCCAGGCAUCUCCUGAUCAGCACAGCACAGAGAUAGUGGCUGUGCACUCUCAGCACGCUGGGGGAAGAGGUGGGAUCAGCAAAAUAGAUGUGAGGGUCAUGGAGGUGGGGAGGGGUCCAGAUAAAAGCAUGAUGAAGCAGCAUCUGGUCAGUGCUCUCAGACAUAUGGUGGUUCUUCAUGGAGCCAGAAGCUUCAGCCUUGCAGUGGCCUUCCCUUGUAGCAGAGGUAGGGAAUAUGCAGGUUAUGCAGCCAGGAGACCAGUGUCAGCUCACAGCAGGCAAUGACUAUCUCCUGGACAUUGCCUGUGCCACGUAACCUUGCUGGGGGAUGGAGUGCUGCCACUGCUAUAAACCCCCGUCGGUCUCUGGUGUCAAUAGGCCUUAUCUCUAAAAGGCAGCCUUAUUAACAGGGAAUGAACUUUGCCACCCGUGGCGUGUUCUUGAAACCUGCCUUGAGGUUCUCCGUGCCCAAAUGAAAUGGGAGGGUUUAUGAGGAAAAGGAAAAUAGAGCAUUGCUCUGAGAGCAAGAUGAGCACCCACCAACCUCCUGUAUGACACAGAGGUUGCACCCAAGCCUGCAAAAUGUUAUAUAGAACCUGUUUGGGCCUUUAAUUAACUAAUGUCUGUCUUCGUGGUCCCAGCAGGCCCUCUGCAGCAAGAACAGCUGCUGGCUGGUGGCUUGGGAAGGACCAGGCAUCCAUUUUGCACCCCAUCUGCUUGUGAGGAGUGCUGGCCUGAACCAGGCCUCCCUGUGCAGCUGCUUCCCUGUGCUGCUGCAGGAAAAACAGCCCAUUUCUGCAUUGCUCUGUGCUCCUUCCUGCAAUAUGAGCUGCUAAGGGACCACAGAGGGCUGUGAGGGUGUCCCUGCAGCAAGACCGGGAUUGGGGUGAUGGAAAGACUGGGACUGAUGAAGGAAAAGAGGAGGCACUCAGCACAACGAGAGGCAAAUAUAGAUCAAACAGCAGGAAAUCCGCUCUCUGGCGGCACAGUAGAGCCACGCAGUGGAAAGCGCUGGUCCAGCAGGAGGUCAUCCAAGACAAACAUGGAGCUGCUUUGUGGGGCGGCCCGGCUGGCGGGCAGGAUGGGCAGGCGUUCUGCUUCACCGCCAUCCCUGCAGGAGGACAGGGAGGAGAUAUCCCAGCCUGUGAUAGGGAGGAGUCCUUCUCACCACCGUCUUCAGGCUGUACCUGGGGUUUGAGCCAGCCCCAGGCAAGCCGAUGCCCAAAGAAGCUGUGGAUUCCCCAUCCCUGGAGGUGCCCAAGGCCACAGAUGCGCCCUGGGCAGUCAGAUCUGAUGGGGGGCAGGCAGCCCUCAGCAGAGGGUGGGACUGAAUGGGCUCUGGAGUCCCUUCCAACCCAACCAUUCUGUGGUUCUACGAUUUCUAACUGGCAAAGGUGACAGCUCCCUGGGAACGUGCCUGGGCGUUCACUCGCUUAUGGAAAGCUUUAUCAAGAGAGUGAAGGUGAUUGUCCGGGCUUGUUGAUGUCCUCGAGAGAUAGCCUGCAGGGAGGCUUUCUGAAAGCCUGCAAUCUCAGCUAUUGCCCUUUGACAGCAGCAGAGAUAAAGAUGUAUGAACAUCCUGCUCAGGAAGCUCCUUCCUCCUCGGCUGUGGUUCCUUGGCUCUGAUAAAUGCAGGUGAAAUCUCUGCUCACUGCAGGCAGCCUGCUGUUUUGCUUCCAGCAAGCAGUCGUGCUUUGUCUUGGCAGCACUUUGAGUUUGAAUUACUUAGUGCCCAUUUGUCCCCUGCCUUGGGACAGUCCCUUGUGGUUGGUUAGGAAUCUUCUGACUUCCAACACAAGCGCAUCUGUGGCCGGCUUCUUGUUCAUUUGUUCUCAAGACAGAGGACAGUGCUGGCACAAACAGCUCUUCUCCCUGCCUGCACUCUUCGACGUUGAUUUGAAAUAGUCUUUCUUUGGCCUUGGGUUUCAGAGGGACAUGUUUCAAAACCAGAAAUAAACGGGCUUGAAAUAU
Molecule: non-coding RNA, 8980 nt
Organism: Coturnix japonica (Japanese quail)
Lineage: Eukaryota; Metazoa; Chordata; Aves; Galliformes; Phasianidae
Source: RefSeq, a predicted model, not a curated record